Molecule: non-coding RNA, 90 nt
Organism: Mycena leptocephala
Lineage: Eukaryota; Fungi; Basidiomycota; Agaricomycetes; Agaricales; Mycenaceae
Source: the annotation of a GenBank genome assembly
GACCUGGUGGUGAAAUGUAUCACACCCACUCUUAAUAUGAUUGAAGGAGUGCCUUUGUGGGGAUCCCCGGUUCAAAUCCGGGCCAGGUCA